UAGGGAGACCUACCCAAUCAGAUAUCGAAAACAAAAAUAGAGAUACUGAAGUGGUCAAACCUAGGUCGGUCACAGGAAUAGUUGAAGCUUUCAAACUAUGGUUUGGUUCGGAUUGGGGCUAUUAGCUCAGGUGGUUAGAGCGCACCCCUGAUAAGGGUGAGGUCCCUGGUUCGAGUCCAGGAUGGCCCACCUGAAGGAAGUAUGGAGUGAGAAGUAUGAAGUAUGAAAGAGUUUAUCAAUUUCAGAAUUCAUAAUUCAGACUUCACAAUUCUGAUGGGGGUUUAGCUCAGUUGGUAGAGCGCCUGCUUUGCAAGCAGGAUGUCAGCGGUUCGAGUCCGCUAACCUCCACCAAAAAAGCAAAAAAGGGAAAACUCAGCAACUAACACUGGUUAGACUGCUGGGAGAAUACCAGCCAGAACCUUGAAAACUGCAUAGAAACGCGAAAAAAGUAGGUAGUUGUUUGUCAAUAGAGAACAGACAACCAGAUACACCAAUGAAAUGU
This 502-nucleotide transfer RNA is filed under the name Nostoc sp. 3H3. RNAcentral describes it as "16S-23S ribosomal RNA intergenic spacer". The stretch from base 276 to 348 matches the Rfam family "tRNA". Lineage: Bacteria; Bacillati; Cyanobacteriota; Cyanophyceae; Nostocales; Nostocaceae. The record is from RNAcentral.